CUUGAUUAAUAUUUUUAAAACUUUCUAAUCUUUUCAAAAAUAUAAAUCAAACCAAUCCACACCCCUCUUCACUCCAAAUCAACCACUCUAUCCUCUCUCUCGACAGCUUCUCUCAACUCUCUCCCAACUAACACUUCUGCAAAAUUUCUCCCUUCAACCCUCGGCGAUAAAUAGUUGGGCUUCGAGUUCCCCUCUUCAAUUCAGAUCAACCUGUCUCUCAUCCCUCUCUCGACAGCUUCUCUCAACUCUCUCCCAAUCAACUUUUCUGUAAAUUUCUCAUUUCAAUCCUCGGUGACUUCAACAUCUGACUACAAAUAGUUGGGCUUCGAGUACUUUUUCGACUUCAACCUUCAAUCGACGUGACAGCCUUGCUUUCCGGCCACAACAGCUUCGAAUUCUUCAUCGUUCGUUUUCUUCCUUCACAGGUAAAAAUUUAUGGCCUUUUUAGUUUUGAAGAAAAUGAGGAACUUGAGGCAACUUCUCUUAUAGUAUCGAUUAACAAUUUCAAUAUUUAUUGCAUUAAUUUAAAAUGCGGUCUGAAUAAAACCCUAAUUUUUGGUAUUUCUUCUCUUCUCUUUUCGAAGUGAAUUAUGAUAUUUUGUUGUUUGUUGCAUUUUUUUAAGUUACUGUUUAUGUUUAUAAAAACAAAACAUCAUUUCGGUUGAUUUGUUCUGUUCUUGUUCUUGGUAAAAAUGGUGAAAUUGCUGUUUUUUUGUUGAACAAAAUUGUGCUAUUUUUUUAAUUUCCUCUAACAGAUUACCCAUCUGGUACAACAUAUUAACCAUCUGAUGCAACAAAUUUAUCAUAUGAUGCAAUAGAUCAACCAUUUGAUGCACCAGAGGAAUCAUCAAAUUACAAUUUUGAUGCAACAGAUUAAUCAUCUGAUGUAAUAGAUUAACUAUCUGAUGCAAUAGAUUAACCAUAUGUUGCAACGGAUUAAGCAUCGGAUAAAAAAUCUGAUGCAACUAAUUAACCAUCUGAUGCAAUAGAAGAACAAUCAGAUUAAUGAUCCGAUGCAACAGAUGAACCUCCUAUUGGAUAAAAUCCUAUCAACUCUUCCAAUAGGAAAUGUCCAAGACUUGAUUUUUCUAAAUAAUCAUUCAUCUGCUGCGAUAGACGACCCUAUGUUGGAAGAAAUCUAAACAAUAUUGACUGUUGAUAACUGUUCCAAAAUAUCACUCAUGUGUUGCAACCGAUGUGUGACUUGUUGCACAGACUGUUCAUUUUUCUCAACAGAUGAGUGAUAUAUUUUGUAUUAUCGCAACAGAUUACUCAGUUGUUGCUGCAGGUUAGUUAACUGCUCUGAUAGAUCACUCAUAUAUUGUAACAGAUGUGUGAUCUGUUGCACAAACCAUUCAUCUUUCUCAACAGAUCAGUGAUAUAUUUGGUAUUAUCGCAACAAAUUACUUAGCCAUUGCUACAGGUUAUUUAAUUGUUCCAAUAGAUAACUCAUAUAUUGCAACAAAUGAUGUCACAACAGAUGUGUGAUCUGUUGCACAGACCAUACUUAUUUCUUAAAAGAUGAGUGAUAUAUUUUGUAUUGUUACAACAGAUUACUCAUCCGCUGCAAUAGGUUGGUUAUAUACUGCAAAAGAUAUACUACCUGGUGCAAUAGAUCG
This 1619-nucleotide long non-coding RNA is filed under the name Capsicum annuum. RNAcentral's name for it is "long non-coding RNA (CANN_LNC021475)". The record is from RNAcentral. Lineage: Eukaryota; Viridiplantae; Streptophyta; Magnoliopsida; Solanales; Solanaceae.